GCCUGGCUGACUCAGUCAGUGGAGCAUCAGACUCUUAAUCUCAGGGUUGUGAGUUCAAGCCUCAUGAUGGGUU
This 73-nucleotide transfer RNA is filed under the name Canis lupus familiaris (dog). It matches the Rfam family "tRNA". Rfam says of the family: Transfer RNA (tRNA) molecules are approximately 80 nucleotides in length. Their secondary structure includes four short double-helical elements and three loops (D, anti-codon, and T loops). RNAcentral also lists the same sequence under 2 other names. The record is from Rfam by way of RNAcentral. Lineage: Eukaryota; Metazoa; Chordata; Mammalia; Carnivora; Canidae.